This is a long non-coding RNA of Ruditapes philippinarum (Manila clam), 1564 nucleotides long. RefSeq lists it as uncharacterized. Lineage: Eukaryota; Metazoa; Mollusca; Bivalvia; Venerida; Veneridae. The transcript is spliced from 2 exons. The record is from RefSeq and is a predicted model, not a curated record.
ACAAUUGUUUUGGAAACUACUGUAGCUUUGUAUGAAAUUCAAGCGCUUGUUGGGCUUAAAAUAAUAGAUUUGUGAAAUAAAAUUCAACGAUAUAAUUGAAAUUAUUCAGUCAUUGUAUUGACGGCAAAAACAACGGAACUACACGAAAUUAUGCGAAUCAAGCACAUGUUACUGACGUAGUACACAGGAUUAUUACGUAGAACACAGGUUUAUUGUGCGCGCAAUAUUCAAAGACGGCAGACACUUCGUCUCAUAUCAACAGUGAACUGAUAUCGUCUCCCCAAUAAAGACAUUCAACGAGGAAGGUGAAAUUGCUCAAGCAAAUUAUCAGAAGAAGACCUUCAAAGCUGCAAUCGGUGAAAUUCACUUUAAGAAUUGGUACCACAAGGCCACAAAGGGAGGAGUUCAACUAACUUGUGGAUGAUGUUCAAAGCUGAGGAGAGUGAGAGCUUAAAUCUAUAAAACGGGUCAAAAAAUUUUGAUAUAGAAACUGUCAUAAAUUCUUCAGUUAAUUGAAAGAGGUCAAGUUGUACAAAAUGCCAUGGAGCUAAAUACACAUGGAGAAAAAACUGUGAUGUCACACAGUUAAAUUCAGUAUUGGCAAAAUUGUGUUCUUAUAAGUUAUCAUAUGUUGCGGGAUUUUCAAAGAUUUGAUGCAUCCUGGGUAAAAAUAGCCAAAACACCGUCAUAUUGAAUUCCCGGAGGAAGAUGAAACAUUUUUUUGCUUAAAUAAGAAGCAAUAGUUAUUUAUUGUAAAAGGUACUAUACACACUUUUCUAUACAAAUAUUUCUCUGAUGAAAAUCUAUGUUGGGGUAUGUAAACAAUAAUUCAUGGAUAUCGUCCAAGUUUAACGAGAGUGCGAAAAUGGGAGACUAACGAGAAAACCCAAUUAUCACCGAAGCCUGCAAAGGAUUGUGGGUCUGAAUCUGACUAUUAUCUAUUUUUAGAGCUUUCUAUCUGUUGUAUAUAUAUAUAUAUAUAUAUAUAUCUGUGAAAAUGCAAAGAAGUCGUUGGAUUACCAAAGAUCAACAUUUCAUUUGAUUACCAGUGAUCAUCAAUUCAGUGGAUUUCUGAGAUUCUCAGUAUGAAAAAUUUGAUGACAAGAAAAUUAUUAAACUGGCAAAAAUUGGAUCUUACAGCAAGGAUUUACUCAUUUCAGAAGACAGCAAUAGAAAAUGUAGGAGUUGCAUGUAAUACUGGAGGUUUCUUGCGUCAUGUUUUGUACUGUUUAAGUGACGUUUCUUAGACUGUUUAAGUGAUGUCCCGCAUUCAAUCAGUUAAGAAAAUGAUGAAAGCAAAUUAAAAUCUAGGAGAGACCUAGUCAAGUAUUAUAUAAUAAUGUUUUAACUUUUAGUGCUAAAUUCAAAGAGGUGUCUCAUGUUACACUGUUUUAAAAAAAGGAAUCUUAAGUCAAGUGUUAUUGCCAAAGCUCAUUGCAUUCCAGUAACUACAAUGAUAUAUCUAAAGAAGUGUGUCUAAACAAUACAAAAACAAUUAAACUGUAAGGAAAAUACUUUGUUUCAUAUGCAAUCAUGCUUUUUAUUAAAUUUAAUAGUUUGCUUA